Molecule: ribosomal RNA, 497 nt
Filed under: uncultured bacterium
Lineage: Bacteria
Description: partial 16S ribosomal RNA
Rfam family: Bacterial small subunit ribosomal RNA
Source: RNAcentral
GAUGAACGCUGGCGGCGUGCCUAAUACAUGCAAGUCGAGCGAACGGACGAGAAUCUUUCUUCUCUGUUGUUAGCGGCGGACGGGUGAGUCACACGUGGAUUACCUUUCUAUAUGACUUGGAUAACUUCGGGAAACCGUAGCUCAUACCGGAUAAUAUUUUGAACCGCAUGGUUCAAAAGUGAAAUAUGGUCUUGCUGUCACUUAUAGAUGUAUCCGCGCUGCAUUAGCUAGUUGGUAAGGUAACGGCUUACCAAGUCAACGAUGGAUAGCCGACCUGAGAGGGUGAUAGGCCACACGGGAAGGGAGACACGGACCAGGCGACUAAGGGAGGGAGCAGAAGGGAAUGUUAGGCAGUAGGCGAGAGCAUGACGGAGAAACGGCGAGUGAGUGAUGAAGGUGUUCGGAUAGUAAAACUCUGUUAUUAGGGAAGAACAUAUGUGUGAGGAAAAGUGCACAUAGUGACGGUACCUAAACAGAAAGCAACGGCUAACUACGUG